GAUGAAGAACGUAGCGAAAUGCGAUAAGUAAUGCGAAUUGCAGAAUUCAGUGAAUCAUCGAAUCUUUGAACGCACAUUGCGCCCCCUGGUAUUCCGGGGGGCAUGCCUGUCCGAGCGUCAUUACAACCCUCAAGCUCAGCUUGGUGUUGGGCCCCGCCGCCCCGGCGGGCCCUAAAGUCAGUGGCGGUGCCGUCCGGCUCCGAGCGUAGUAAUUCUUCUCGCUCUGGAGGUCCGGUCGUGUGCUCGCCAGCAACCCCCAAUUUUUUUCAGGUUGACCUCGGAUCAGGUAGGGAUACCCGCUGAACUUAAGCAUAUCAAUAAGCGGAGGA
RNAcentral lists this unclassified non-coding RNA (329 nucleotides) under soil metagenome. RNAcentral describes it as "partial contains 5.8S ribosomal RNA, internal transcribed spacer 2, and large subunit ribosomal RNA". The stretch from base 1 to 120 matches the Rfam family "5.8S ribosomal RNA", at positions 35 to 154 of the family's 154-position model. The record is from RNAcentral.